RNAcentral lists this ribosomal RNA (473 nucleotides) under uncultured bacterium. RNAcentral describes it as "partial 16S ribosomal RNA". It matches the Rfam family "Bacterial small subunit ribosomal RNA", at positions 30 to 507 of the family's 1533-position model. The record is from RNAcentral.
AGUGAACGCUGGCGGUAGGCCUAACACAUGCAAGUCGAACGGCAGCACAGUAAGAGCUUGCUCUUACGGGUGGCGAGUGGCGGACGGGUGAGGAAUACAUCGGAAUCUACUUUUUCGUGGGGGAGAACGUAGGGAAACUUACGCUAAUACCGCAUACGACCUACGGGUGAAAGCAGGGGAUCUUCGGACCUUGCGCGAUUGGAUGAGCCGAUGUCGGAUUAGCUAGUUGGCGGGGUAAAGGCCCACCAAGGCGACGAUCCGUAGCUGGUCGGAGAGGAUGACAGUCCACACUGGGACUUAGAGACGGCCCAGACUCCUACGGGGGGCAGCAGUGGGGAAUAUGGCACAAUGGGCGGAAGCCUGAUGCAGCAACGCCGCGUGCGGGAUGACCGCCUUCGGGUUGGAAACCGCAUUCAGCAGGGGCGAAGCUUGUGGUGACGGUACCGGCAGAAGAAGCACCGGCUAACUACGUG